Molecule: unclassified non-coding RNA, 147 nt
Organism: Macaca fascicularis (crab-eating macaque)
Lineage: Eukaryota; Metazoa; Chordata; Mammalia; Primates; Cercopithecidae
Rfam family: Metazoan signal recognition particle RNA
About the family: The signal recognition particle (SRP) is a universally conserved ribonucleoprotein. It is involved in the co-translational targeting of proteins to membranes. The eukaryotic SRP consists of a 300-nucleotide 7S RNA and six proteins: SRPs 72, 68, 54, 19, 14, and 9.
Source: Ensembl
GCCAGGCGCGGUGGCGUGCGCCUGUAGUCCCAGCUACUCGGGAGGCUGAGGCAGGAGAAUCGCUUGAACCCGGGAGGCGGAGCUUGCAGUGAGCCGAGAUCGGCCACUGCACUCCAGCCUGGGCGACAGAGCAAGACUCCGUCUCAA